CAGAAAAAUAAAUUUGGGAAUUAAUUUUUGUCUUCCUGUUGUAGAUAUGACUUUAAGAAUGUUCCAGAUGUUUCAGAUGGGGUAAUGUUUUACGGUAACAGGAAUGAGUGAAACCCAUGGAACAAAAAUAAAUAAAUGUAUAUAUAACAUGAAUAAAUAUUAUGGACCUAUUAUGAACAAAAAUCUUUUUUAAAGCAUAGAUGGGAUUUGGAGUCACACAACAAUGAAAAAGCAUUUUAAUCAUUAGAUUGGAUUUAAAGAGUGGGGAGAGCAUGGAAACAUGGGAGGGGUAGAACACUAUAGUUUGAUGACACAGACAGACAGAUACCACCAUCACAAUCGAGACAUUACCUGUGUGCGAACUGUUCCUCCACUGGUCAGCUAUACUGAGCAGACACGGUUAGAUUUUUAAAGAAUGGAUGACUCCAGAAACUGCACCAACUCCAACAUCCACGUUCCCAUCAUCGCCUGCCUCUGUGAAGCUCUGCUGAUGUCCAUCAUCAUAAAUAUAUAUUUUAUUUGUACUAAGAAGUACAGACUGCUUGGCCAGCGCAUUUACAAUGUGGUAAACUCAGCGUGUUGUAAAUCAGCACAAACAGAGCAAGAUGAUGAACAAACCUCUGAACAGGAUCAGCCUGAAGAUGAGAUCCAGUACUCUGCAGUGGAUUUCAGGAAAAAGAGAGAAGAUGCUCAGAAUCAGGCAGAAGAAAUAAGAGAUGAGACUAUUUACAGUGGUCUGGCCAGUCUCGGGGUGGAAUAAGGUGUGGCUCACUUUUAUUUAAUAAAUAUAAUACUGAUCUAUUUAUCA
This 808-nucleotide long non-coding RNA is filed under the name Astyanax mexicanus (Mexican tetra). Its description in RNAcentral is "lncRNA (ENSAMXG00005004573.1)". The record is from RNAcentral. Lineage: Eukaryota; Metazoa; Chordata; Actinopteri; Characiformes; Acestrorhamphidae.